Molecule: ribosomal RNA, 1370 nt
Filed under: uncultured bacterium
Lineage: Bacteria
Description: bacterial SSU rRNA
Rfam family: Bacterial small subunit ribosomal RNA
Source: RNAcentral
GAUGAACGCUGGCGGCGUGCCUAAUACAUGCAAGUCGAGCGAACGGACGAGAAGCUUGCUUCUCUGAUGUUAGCGGCGGACGGGUGAGUAACACGUGGAUAACCUACCUAUAAGACUGGGAUAACUUCGGGAAACCGGAGCUAAUACCGGAUAAUAUUUUGAACCGCAUGGUUCAAAAGUGAAAGACGGUCUUGCUGUCACUUAUAGAUGGAUCCGCGCUGCAUUAGCUAGUUGGUAAGGUAACGGCUUACCAAGGCAACGAUGCAUAGCCGACCUGAGAGGGUGAUCGGCCACACUGGAACUGAGACACGGUCCAGACUCCUACGGGAGGCAGCAGUAGGGAAUCUUCCGCAAUGGGCGAAAGCCUGACGGAGCAACGCCGCGUGAGUGGUGAAGGUCUUCGGAUCGUAAAACUCUGUUAUUAGGGAAGAACAUAUGUGUAAGUAACUGUGCACAUCUUGACGGUACCUAAUCAGAAAGCCACGGCUAACUACGUGCCAGCAGCCGCGGUAAUACGUAGGUGGCAAGCGUUAUCCGGAAUUAUUGGGCGUAAAGCGCGCGUAGCGGUUUUUUAGUCUGAUGUGAAAGCCCACGGCUCAACCGUGGAGGGUCAUUGGAAACUGGAAAACUUGAGUGCAGAAGAGGAAAGUGGAAUUCCAUGUGUAGCGGUGAAAUGCGCAGAGAUAUGGAGGAACACCAGUGGCGAAGGCGACUUUCUGGUCUGUAACUGACGCUGAUGUGCGAAAGCGUGGGGAUCAAACAGGAUUAGAUACCCUGGUAGUCCACGCCGUAAACGAUGAGUGCUAAGUGUUAGGGGGUUUCCGCCCCUUAGUGCUGCAGCUAACGCAUUAAGCACUCCGCCUGGGGAGUACGACCGCAAGGUUGAAACUCAAAGGAAUUGACGGGGACCCGCACAAGCGGUGGAGCAUGUGGUUUAAUUCGAAGCAACGCGAAGAACCUUACCAAAUCUUGACAUCCUUUGACAACUCUAGAGAUAGAGCCUUCCCCUUCGGGGGACAAAGUGACAGGUGGUGCAUGGUUGUCGUCAGCUCGUGUCGUGAGAUGUUGGGUUAAGUCCCGCAACGAGCGCAACCCUUAAGCUUAGUUGCCAUCAUUAAGUUGGGCACUCUAAGUUGACUGCCGGUGACAAACCGGAGGAAGGUGGGGAUGACGUCAAAUCAUCAUGCCCCUUAUGAUUUGGGCUACACACGUGCUACAAUGGACAAUACAAAGGGCAGCGAAACCGCGAGGUCAAGCAAAUCCCAUAAAGUUGUUCUCAGUUCGGAUUGUAGUCUGCAACUCGACUACAUGAAGCUGGAAUCGCUAGUAAUCGUAGAUCAGCAUGCUACGGUGAAUACGUUCCCGGGUCU